GACACACUGCUACUUAUUUGUGCUAAAACUGUCAGUACCUUUAGUAGUAUUAAUAUUGUGGAUUUACUUGGUGGGUGAGAUAUGCCUGUCCUGCAUAAUUCAACCUCUGGGGUCAGUAUUACAGUAUUACCUGCACAGAGGACUUGAGAUGCUCGAACUUAUCUAUAUUUUUGUGGGAAUUAUCUGUGCUUUUAUUCGUGUAAGAUAAGUUUGUUUCUUAGGUAAUUUUUAACCUUUAGCAUGCUCUGAAAUUUGUGCAAUUCUUGUUUGAACUUGUGGUCAUUAAUCCGACCCCUUCCUUCCCCUCAAUUCAAGAGAAACAUCCCGAAAACAAAUAUAUGGACAAACAUCGGUUGGUACUGAAAUGUGUCUCAUCUUUAGUAGCACUACUUGGGUCAAGUGUUUCUUCUGUUUAUAUUGUUGAUGAUUACAAUAAUGUAGUGGUGCAGCUGAGAAGCGGAACUCAACUAUCUGCAUAACUAAUUUUUUUCUACAUGUUUGCUUGUAGAUAAGUGAACUCCUAGGUAUAAUGCCCUUUUCUAAUUCUUUCUUGCUUUCUCUCUUUUUUGUGUUGCUUGAUUCAGCUUGGUAUAUUUGUGGAAACCAUAUAUAGUGGAAAUACAGCGGUUGAUUUUGUUUCACAUGAAAAAGUACUAUUGUUUAAAGAAGAGACAUGUCAAGAUAGAAGGGGACAAAAAUGAUUAUUUGGAACCAAAUUUGCAAGCAUUUUUUUUUUCACGUAUAAGGUCUAUUUUAUAAUGCACCGACAUGGACACGUGUGUCAAAUACGAUAUAUGUCGAAUACAUCGAUGCGUGAUUUUUCAAAAAAAAUGUAUUCGACACGUGAUUUUUCAAAAAAAAUGUAUUCGACGCGUGAUUUUUCAAAAAAAAUGUAUUCGACGCGUGAUUUUUCAAAAAAAUACUGACAUGAUACGUCACCAACACAUUAUUAAAUUUUUUAAAAUUCUUCAUUUUAUAUAGUAUAAAUUUCGUUUUGUGCUUAUUAUUAAUUUUUUUUUCUAAAUCUUUUAAAUAUGAGUACUCAUUUAUUAUUUACUAAUAACUUUGAAUUACAAAUAAUAAUAUUUUUUUAUAAAAAAAAAAAGAAAAAUGUUCAUGGUAAAGUGUUCAAGAAGUGUCGGUAUUGACGUGUAUCCGACAUGUGAGACACGGACACGUUAUCCUAGGUGAAAUGUUCGUGCUACAAAGAGUCUAUUGAAGAUGGAAACAUUUAUUUUUCUCUUGGAAUGUAUUUAGUGCAAAUAGCUGUAGUCUUUAUUGAGGAUAGACCUCUCUUGACACUGUCUCUUGGUCUGUUUUUCUUAUCAUGCGACUGCUAAUUAUGUCCAUUUCAUGUUGUUCUAUUUCAUUGUGUGUCAAUUAGGUGUAUAUCAGUCUCUUUAUAGGCAUGUUCACUGGUGAACUGUAUUAAUGAAUUAAUGAAAAUUAUUAAAGAUUAGAGUUAUGUUUGAAGGAGUGAUGAGAUUUUGAUGAAUAUUGACAUGGAGAUUUUCCCUUAAUUGUCGUCCUCAGGAGCGAAGAAGCAAACUGCUGUUAUUUUUGUUAAGAUCGCUGAGUUGAUUACCUGGAGGAAGAAAAUUUAAUUGCUGAUUUCUGGGAUAUUCUUGAAAUGUUAGUAUCUAUGUAGAGUAGCAAACAGGCCUUAAUCAAAUAGGCCAUUGCUUUGUAUUCCACAACUAUGCAACUGAAUUUUGAGUCACGACCCUGCAAGGAUUUUUGUGAAAAGUCUCCAACAUUGGAACUUGCCUAUUAUUGGAGAAAUUUAAGCUGUUUUUCCGUGGAAAGAGAAUUCUUUGAGCUUUGUAUGGUAAUUUCCAUGUUGUAGGCAUGUAAUUGUUUUGUUUUGACAUGUUUGUCUCGUCUCUCCGGUUGUAAAUAUAUUGUAAAAUUCUCAAAGUCAUGUAUGACGAUGCUGUAAUUGGUGUUUUAGUAUGUAGUUUGUAGUCAUUGUACAUGUUACAAAUCUCAAAGUCAUGAUGAUGCUGUAAUUGGUAUUUUAGUACGUAUUUUGUAGUCACUGUACAUGUUGAAGUGUCAUUGUCAUUGAAUUGUAACCUUGAAUUGUUUUAGAUUUAUCCCAAAGUUAUGCAUGUUGAUCUUUUGGGGAAAUAUUGUAAAUUUUCUUGGUUUAUCCAUUAAGAACCUCCUCAAAUAGUCUUUUUGGGGAAAUAUUGCUUUUAUGAUGUGAAUUUUUUUUUUCUUUUUUCUUUUCUUUUUUUUUUUUUU
Molecule: long non-coding RNA, 2247 nt
Filed under: Olea europaea (common olive)
Lineage: Eukaryota; Viridiplantae; Streptophyta; Magnoliopsida; Lamiales; Oleaceae
Description: long non-coding RNA (OEUR_LNC011040)
Source: RNAcentral